This 1321-nucleotide ribosomal RNA is filed under the name metagenome. RNAcentral describes it as "bacterial LSU rRNA". It matches the Rfam family "Bacterial large subunit ribosomal RNA", at positions 1561 to 2925 of the family's 2925-position model. The record is from RNAcentral.
AGUGGAUGGGGAGCAACCUAGUUGUGCGUGUGUAAAGGUAGUGCCAAGAAAAGCGAUGAUCAUGUUGAAAAUCAAUUCCCGGUACCCGAAACCGACACAGGUGGGCAAGUAGAGAAUACUAAGGGGCGCGAGGUAACUCUCUCCAAGGAACUCGGCAAAAUGACCCCGUAACUUAGGGAGAAGGGGUGCCACCGAGAGGUGGUCGCAGUGAAGAGGCCCAGGCGACUGUUUAGCAAAAACAUAGGUCUCUGCAAACUCGAAAGAGGAGGUAUAGGGGCUGACGCCUGCCCAGUGCCGGAAGGUUAAAGAAGUUGGUCAGUUUUAGGAUGAAGCUAGCGACUGAAGCCCCGGUGAACGGCGGCCGUAACUAUAACGGUCCUAAGGUAGCGAAAUUCCUUGUCGGGUAAGUUCCGACCCGCACGAAAGGCGUAACGAUCUGGGCGCUGUCUCGGAGAGAGGCUCGGCGAAAUAGGAUUGUCUGUGAAGAUACGGACUACCUGCAUUUGGACAGAAAGACCCUAUGAAGCUUUACUAUAGCUUGGAAUUGUGUUCGGGCUUCCUGUGCGCAGGAUAGGUGGGAGGCGUAGAAGGUAUUCUUGUGGGGAUACUGGAGCCAACGGUGAGAUACCACUCUCAGGAGGCUAGAAUUCUAACUUAAUUAAGGACAGUUUCAGGUGGGUAGUUUGACUGGGGCGGUCGCCUCCAAAAAGGUAACGGAGGCGUACAAAGGUUCCCUCAGACUGGUUGGAAAUCAGUCGAAGAGUGCAAAGGCAGAAGGGAGCUUGACUGCGAGAAGUACAGUUCGAGCAGGGUGGAAACACGGUCUUAGUGAUCCGACGGUGCUGUGUGGAAGGGCCGUCGCUCAACGGAUAAAAGUUACUCUAGGAUAACAGGCUGAUCUCCCCCAAGAGUUCACAUCGACGGGGAGGUUUGGCACCUCGAUGUCGGCUCAUCGCAACCUGGGGCGGAAGUACGUCCCAAGGGUUGGGCUGUUCGCCCAUUAAAGCGGUACGUGAGCUGGGUUCAGAACGUCGUGAGACAGUUCGGUCCAUAUCCGAUGUAGGCGUGAGAAUAUUGAGAGGAGCCUUCCUUGGUACGAGAGGACCGGGAAGGACGCACCGCUGGUGUACCUGUUAUGAUGCCAAUUGUAAACGCAGGGUAGCCAAGUGCGGAGAGGAUAACCGCUGAAAGCAUCUAAGUGGGAAGCCCACCUCAAGAUGAGUAUUCUGGUGUAAGGUCACGGGAAGACGACCCGUAAAUAGGCACGAGGUGGAAGUGCAGAGAUGUAUGAAGCCGAAGUGUACUAAUAGACCGUCGGCUU